AUGUCAGGAAGACAUCUCUUGAUCAAUUGCUUGUACUUUUUCCAAGCUUCAUAGAGGGAUUCACCCUCUUUUUGUCUGAAGGUUUAAACUUCCACCCUGAGCUU
Small nucleolar RNA from Arachis duranensis, 104 nucleotides. NCBI's taxonomy places the organism in Eukaryota, Viridiplantae, Streptophyta, Magnoliopsida, Fabales, Fabaceae. The record is from RefSeq and is a predicted model, not a curated record.